This 737-nucleotide ribosomal RNA is filed under the name uncultured bacterium. RNAcentral describes it as "bacterial SSU rRNA". It matches the Rfam family "Bacterial small subunit ribosomal RNA", at positions 102 to 825 of the family's 1533-position model. The record is from RNAcentral.
ACUGGUGAGUAACACGUGGGAAAUCUGCCCCCCAUCAAGGGAUAACACUUGGAAACAGGUGCUAAUACCGUAUAACAACAAAAUCCGCAUGGAUUUUGUUUGAAAGGUGGCUUCGGCUAUCGCUUCUGGAUGAUCCCGCGGCGUAUUAGUUAGUUGGUGAGGUAAAGGCCCACCAAGACGAUGAUACGUAGCCGACCUGAGAGGGUAAUCGGCCACAUUGGGACUGAGACACGGCCCAAACUCCUACGGGAGGCAGCAGUAGGGAAUCUUCCACAAUGGACGAAAGUCUGAUGGAGCAAUGCCGCGUGAGUGAAGAAGGGUUUCGGCUCGUAAAACUCUGUUGUUAAAGAAGAACACCUUUGAGAGUAACUGUUCAAGGGUUGACGGUAUUUAACCAGAAAGCCACGGCUAACUACGUGCCAGCAGCCGCGGUAAUACGUAGGUGGCAAGCGUUGUCCGGAUUUAUUGGGCGUAAAGCGAGCGCAGGCGGUUUUUUAAGUCUGAUGUGAAAGCCUUCGGCUUAACCGGAGAAGUGCAUCGGAAACUGGGAGGCUUGAGUGCAGAAGAGGACAGUGGAACUCCAUGUGUAGCGGUGGAAUGCGUAGAUAUAUGGAAGAACACCAGUGGCGAAGGCGGCUGUCUAGUCUGUAACUGACGCUGAGGCUCGAAAGCAUGGGUAGCGAACAGGAUUAGAUACCCUGGUAGUCCAUGCCGUAAACGAUGAGUGCUAAGUGUUG